Molecule: ribosomal RNA, 735 nt
Filed under: uncultured Acidobacteriota bacterium
Lineage: Bacteria; Pseudomonadati; Acidobacteriota
Description: bacterial SSU rRNA
Rfam family: Bacterial small subunit ribosomal RNA
Source: RNAcentral
UGCCCGCAAGGGUGCAUGGCAGACGGGUGAGUAACGCGUGGGGAACCUACCUUUUCGUGGGGAAUAACGUUCCGAAAGGAAUGGUAAUACCGCAUGAGACCGAUGGCUGGGGUGCUGUCGGUGAAAGCCGGGGAUCGUAAGACCUGGCGCGAGAAGAGGGUCCUGCGUCUGAUUAGCUAGUUGGCGGGGUAAUGGCCCACCAAGGCGUCGAUCAGUAGCCGGCCUGAGAGGGUGAUCGGCCACACUGGAACUGAGACACGGUCCAGACUCCUACGGGAGGCAGCAGUGGGGAAUUUUGCGCAAUGGGCGGAAGCCUGACGCAGCAACGCCGCGUGGGUGAUGAAGGUCUUCGGAUCGUAAAACCCUGUCGUCAGGGACGUAGGUUGUGUUCCUAAUACGGAUGCAACUUGACGGUACCUGGAGAGGAAGCCCCGGCUAACUCUGUGCCAGCAGCCGCGGUAAUACAGAGGGGGCAAGCGUUAUUCGGAAUUAUUGGGCGUAAAGGGCGCGUAGGCGGUGAUUUAAGUGAGAUGUGCAAUCCCCGGGCUUAACCUGGGAACUGCAUCUCAGACUGGGUCGCUAGAGUGCUGGAGAGGGUGGUGGAAUUCCACGUGUAGCGGUGAAAUGCGUAGAGAUGUGGAGGAACACCAGUGGCGAAGGCGGCCACCUGGACAGUAACUGACGCUGAGGCGCGAAAGUGUGGGGAGCAAACAGGAUUAGAUACCUGGUAGUCCA